Molecule: ribosomal RNA, 1116 nt
Filed under: Triticum aestivum (bread wheat)
Lineage: Eukaryota; Viridiplantae; Streptophyta; Magnoliopsida; Poales; Poaceae
Description: partial small subunit ribosomal RNA
Source: RNAcentral
CAAAAAAGAGGAUCAGCGCGUGGCGAGGGAGGAGCAGUGCUUCGUUGACCCAUCCCCGUUCGUCAGGUCGCCCCUCAUGGUGAGUGCUGCCACUUCCAGGUCUUCUUUCUCUUCCUCCUCUCAACUGCUCCUCCCCAUCUCCACUCCACUAGCCCCCUACUACUCGCUGACCCCCUGAGCAACUGCUCGAGUCCCCUCCCAAUCUAGUCCCCAAAUUUCUCAAAUCAAGCAGUCGCAAGUGAGUAUAAGUGGAUCUGCAGGCUGUAGCUGCAAAUUCGUCAAGGGGGAGCAACGAUUCGAAAAGCUACUGUAACAGACUAGCUCAAACGGCUGCCGAAUUACAAGGAAAAUACCCACACCUUCAACAGGCCUACUGGUCGUGCCAUCCCACGACGCCUAGUUAAGAUCGGGCGACUACUUUGCCCGCACGGACCGCAGCAACGAUCAUGCCAUCCCAUGACCUGCUCAACGUACCGGCUCCUUCCAAGGGAUUUUGUGAAAAUGUCUGCAACUUGGUCUCCGGUUCUGACAUGGACGAUAUCCACUCGCCCCAGCUCAACACACUCUUUGCUAUAGUGAUACCUGAGGUCAAUGUGUUUACUCCUCUCAUGAUGCACCGGAUUUUUGCUCAGUUCGAUUGCAGAUCUGUUGUCAACAUGCAGCUUGACCUUCUGAACUUUUGUACCCAGCAUUUCAGCAAGCAACCUGCUCAGCCACACAGCCUGACUUGCUGCUGUCGCUGCUGCUAUGUACUCGGCCUCGCAUGAAGAUUUUGCAACCACCUUCUACUUCUGGGAGGACCAAGUAAUAGCACCUGAACCGGGGAAAAACACAAUACCCGUGGUACUUUUCCUGUCAUCAAGAUCUCCUACGUGGUCACUAUCACUGAAACCAAUGAGAAUAGUUUCCCCUUCUGCUCUGUAGAUACACCCAAGAUUCAGGGUGCCCUUGAUGUACCUCAGAACUUGCUUGAUGAAACGGCUUAGAAGCCCCAUAACAUAUGUAAUGUCAGGUCGUGUGUUUACCAGGUACCGCAGGCUCCCAAUGAGACUUCGACGAUAUUCAGUUGCAUCCACUGCUCCUCCCUGGUUCUUCCUCAACUUCAGGCGAUUUUCC